AAACUUUCAACAACGGAUCUCUUGGCUCUCGCAUCGAUGAAGAACGCAGCGAAAUGCGAUACGUAGUGUGAAUUGCAGAAUUCCGUGAAUCAUCGAAUUUUUGAACGCAAAUUGUACUUUUCAGUAAUCUGGAAAGUAUGCUUGGUUGAGGGUCAUCG
RNAcentral lists this ribosomal RNA (158 nucleotides) under Diversispora spurca. Its description in RNAcentral is "5.8S ribosomal RNA". It matches the Rfam family "5.8S ribosomal RNA". Rfam says of the family: 5.8S ribosomal RNA (5.8S rRNA) is a component of the large subunit of the eukaryotic ribosome. Lineage: Eukaryota; Fungi; Glomeromycota; Glomeromycetes; Diversisporales; Diversisporaceae. The record is from RNAcentral.